RNAcentral lists this unclassified non-coding RNA (394 nucleotides) under soil metagenome. Its description in RNAcentral is "partial contains 5.8S ribosomal RNA, internal transcribed spacer 2, and large subunit ribosomal RNA". The stretch from base 1 to 120 matches the Rfam family "5.8S ribosomal RNA", at positions 35 to 154 of the family's 154-position model. The record is from RNAcentral.
GAUGAAGAACGUAGUGAAAUGCGAUAAGUAAUGUGAAUUGCAGAAUUCAGUGAAUCAUCGAAUCUUUGAACGCAUCUUGCGCUCCUUGGUAUUCCGAGGAGCAUGCCUGUUUGAGUGUCAUUUUAACUUCUCAACCAUAUCGAAUUGUUUUUCGAGGUGGCUUGGACAUGGGGGUUUUUGCAGGCUUUAAUAAUGAAGUCGGCUCCUCUGAAAUGCAUUAGUGGUAUCUGAAGCAGAACUGCUACUAUUAGGUGUGAUAAUUAUCUAUGCCUCUUGGUAUACUGCAUGAACAGAUUGCGCUGCUUCCAACUUGUACACCCUUUGGUGUUUGACAAAUUUGACCUCAAAUCAGGUAGGACUACCCGCUGAACUUAAGCAUAUCAAUAGCGGAGGA